Lytechinus variegatus (green sea urchin) is the source of this 2115-nucleotide long non-coding RNA. RefSeq lists it as uncharacterized. The transcript is spliced from 3 exons. The record is from RefSeq and is a predicted model, not a curated record. NCBI's taxonomy places the organism in Eukaryota, Metazoa, Echinodermata, Echinoidea, Temnopleuroida, Toxopneustidae.
GCUUGUCAAUACAACUGCAUUUCUUUAUUUUUACUGAAUUCUAGUUUCGUUUGACCCUCUCCAAUAAUUAAUGUCAUUUCAUUUUACAAAUUAUUGGAAUUUUAUGUCUUUAAUGAAUACAUUAUUGCAUUUCCCCUUUUAUAUUUAGAUGAAGAUUUUGUGCUUAGUCCAGAAAGCCAUAGUAGGUUAUGUAGACUGGUAGUUUACAGUUACAUAUAAGAUUUUGUGCUUAGUCCAGAAAGCCAUAGUAGGUUAUGUAGACUGAUACUUUACAGCUACAUAUUAGAUUUUGUGCAUAGCUCUAAUAGCCAUAGUAAGUUAUGGGACUGGUACAUGUACAUUUAGAGGUAAGCAACAUUGACAAAUUCAUGUAUGUUCCUCUGUCAUGUCAUGCAUGCCCUUUUUAUUUCAUUUUAUUUAUUUUUUCCACCAAUAUCAUUAUCUAAAUGGUAACGUUAUUUGUAACUGUUAUUACUCAUUACAAUGCUUGAUUAAGUUUUUAUUAUUUUAUUUUCUUUUUAAUUCUUAUCUUAUUUCAACACCCUUUUAUUGACCAUUUCUCGCUAUGCUAAUCAUAUCCUGGCUGGUAUCACAAAUUUUAUAUUGCUACCUUAUUAUUUUGUCCUAAUUAACAUAAUGAAUUUGUUCACACCAUGCUUACAUUCUUUUAUUUUAGUAUUUAGCAUCAUAUUAUUGAACGUUCAAAUAUCAUUGCCUCAAACGGAUGAAUAUCUUCAUGCAUCUAUUAUUCAUCUAUCUGUAAUAUCUAGUGAUCUACUCUAGUUAUUUACAUCAGUUCCUCUUCGUGUGGCCGAAACCUAGCUUGGUAUCAUUGCAUAUAUUUUUCACCUUCUCUUGAAAGUUGAUUCUAUCAUGCAUGCCCUUUUAGUAAUUUGAAAUCACUGUUUUUGUUUCGUUAAUUCUUAAUUCUUUUUUUUUCCUCACCUUCAUAUGCAAUACCAAUUUUUACCCAAUUUAAAAAUUAGUUUAAGUCCUGUGUUCAGUAGCUCUUGAUCAUGCCAAGCAUGCUUGCAUCAUUAUUUAACAUUCCUUGUUCGCCCUUGCAAUAACUACAUUACCUAAUUAGAGAAUAAGUAAAUAUCUGUGUUUAGUUGUGAGCCCGUGGCCAUGCUUGCAAAACAUGCUCGCAUCACUAUUUGUCUGUUCUACUAUAGAUCUCAGUUGAAUAAUCGACACCUUGUUUUAUUCUAUCGUAAUGUCCACCCUUUUUUGAUAUUGGCUUCUAAUGACUGGUUUUACCAGAAUGGCAUUUUUUUCUAUUAUCUAUUUGUGUUUAAACAUUUGGGCAUGAUCCUUCUUUCAAUUCGUUCACUGCCAACCUUUUGUUCGCUCUCGCCGCACCUAUAAAAUAAUUACUGAGAAUUUGGUGUUUGGUAUUCCUGAUUGUCAGAAUACAAAAAGGACUUGUGCUUAAUAAUUAUAUUCACUUAUCAUGCCUCGCAUGCCAUAUCCCUCACAUAUUUUAGUAUCUUGCAAGAUCAUAAAAGAGCGCCAAAGAUAUGCAAAUCAUUAAUUACAAAUGUCUUCAGUUUCGAUUAAUGUCAUACUUGACUUCUUUAUUCUUGUAACUUUAACAAUACCCAAUUGUUUGAGAGAAGAUCUGUGUCAUUAGCUCUUGACCAUGUCAAGCAUGCUGCCUCAUUAUUCUAUUUUACUAUCGAUUUCCAAUUGAAUAAUUAACACUUUGUUUAAAAAAAAAUGCUUGAUUAUAUAAUGUCUGCCCUUUGUAAUAACUUCCAAUGGCUGGCUUCACCAAAUGGCAAUCUUCCUUUUAUAUUAUCCAUUUGGUGUUUGAACAUGUUGACAUGACCCCUUCUUUCAAUUCGUUAAGUCCUAACUUUUUGUUAGCUCUUGCCACAUCUAUUAAAUAAUUACUGAGAAUUUGGUGUUCGGUAUUCCUGAUUGUUUGUCAGAAUACAAAAAGAACUUGUGCUUAAACAAUUUUGUUCACUUAUCAUGCCACGCAUGCCAUUCCUCACAUGUUUCAGUAUCUUACAACAUCAUAAAAGAGCGCCAAAGAUACGCAAAUCAUUUACUAUAAAUGUCUUCAGUUUCGAUUAAUGCCAUGCUUGACUUACUCUUUUAUUCUUGUAA